Molecule: long non-coding RNA, 395 nt
Filed under: Cricetulus griseus (Chinese hamster)
Lineage: Eukaryota; Metazoa; Chordata; Mammalia; Rodentia; Cricetidae
Description: lncRNA (ENSCGRG00015037750.1)
Source: RNAcentral
GCACAUAAUCCUGCUUAAUUAGAAAAGACUGCUUAAAACAUUUGACUGAUGCAGAAUAUUUCAGGUCAAGAUUGUACACCUCCAUGGAAAUGGGCCUCAGUUGGACCUUGUGCAUCCUUUACAUCAUGUUCCCCCAAAAAGGGUGGUGGUGGCUGUCACACACAGAAACUCCUGAUUCUUGAUCCAGAAGACUUCUGUUGCCAAAGGGAAAUUACAUCCAAGGUACCAACAUUAAGCUACCAUAUAUUAAACAAUUUAUUUUCAGAAGUUUGAACAGAAGUCAAGAAUCAGCAAACAUUUGGAAAAGACCAAUAACAUCAGAAAAGAAGCAGAUAAAUAAAAAAUAACGACUACCAAGGGAAGACAAAAAGUAAAUAAAAGUAAAUUGGUUUGCU